GGGAAUGUAGCUCAGUUUUAGAGCGCUCGUUCUGCAUGCAAGAGGCCCCGGGUUCGACCCCCGGCAUCUCCA
Molecule: transfer RNA, 72 nt
Filed under: Echinococcus granulosus
Lineage: Eukaryota; Metazoa; Platyhelminthes; Cestoda; Cyclophyllidea; Taeniidae
Rfam family: tRNA
About the family: Transfer RNA (tRNA) molecules are approximately 80 nucleotides in length.
Source: Rfam by way of RNAcentral